AUUGAACGCUGGCGGCAUGCCUUACACAUGCAAGUCGAGGGGCAGCGGGAGUAGCAAUACUUGCCGGCGACCGGCGCACGGGUGCGUAACACGUAUGUAAUCUGCCCAUCACAGGAGGAUAGCCCGGAGAAAUUCGGAUUAAUACUCCAUAAUAGAAGAUAAAGCAUUUUAUUUUCUUGAAAGUUCCGACGGUGAUGGAUGAACAUGCGACUGAUUAGUUUGUUGGUGAGGUAACGGCUCACCAAGACUACGAUCAGUAGGGGUACUGAGAGGUUAAACCCCCACACUGGUACUGAGACACGGACCAGACUCCUACGGGAGGCAGCAGUAAGGAAUAUUGGACAAUGGCCGCAAGGCUGAUCCAGCCAUGCCGCGUGCAGGAAGACGGACCUAUGGUUUGUAAACUGCUUUUGAACGGGAGAAAACCCCCCUACGUGUAGGGGGCUGAUAGUACUGUUAGAAUAAGCAUCGGCUAACUUCGUGCCAGCAGCCGACGG
RNAcentral lists this ribosomal RNA (497 nucleotides) under uncultured bacterium. RNAcentral describes it as "bacterial SSU rRNA". It matches the Rfam family "Bacterial small subunit ribosomal RNA", at positions 30 to 520 of the family's 1533-position model. The record is from RNAcentral.